This 709-nucleotide ribosomal RNA is filed under the name Citrobacter youngae. RNAcentral's name for it is "partial 16S rRNA". The record is from RNAcentral. Lineage: Bacteria; Pseudomonadati; Pseudomonadota; Gammaproteobacteria; Enterobacterales; Enterobacteriaceae.
UCCAGGGGGCCGCCUUCGCCACCGGUAUUCCUCCAGAUCUCUACGCAUUUCACCGCUACACCUGGAAUUCUACCCCCCUCUACAAGACUCUAGCCUGCCAGUUUCGGAUGCAGUUCCCAGGUUGAGCCCGGGGAUUUCACAUCCGACUUGACAGACCGCCUGCGUGCGCUUUACGCCCAGUAAUUCCGAUUAACGCUUGCACCCUCCGUAUUACCGCGGCUGCUGGCACGGAGUUAGCCGGUGCUUCUUCUGCGAGUAACGUCAAUUGCUGAGGUUAUUAACCACAACACCUUCCUCCUCGCUGAAAGUACUUUACAACCCGAAGGCCUUCUUCAUACACGCGGCAUGGCUGCAUCAGGCUUGCGCCCAUUGUGCAAUAUUCCCCACUGCUGCCUCCCGUAGGAGUCUGGACCGUGUCUCAGUUCCAGUGUGGCUGGUCAUCCUCUCAGACCAGCUAGGGAUCGUCGCCUAGGUGAGCCGUUACCCCACCUACUAGCUAAUCCCAUCUGGGCACAUCCGAUGGCAAGAGGCCCGAAGGUCCCCCUCUUUGGUCUUGCGACGUUAUGCGGUAUUAGCUACCGUUUCCAGUAGUUAUCCCCCUCCAUCGGGCAGUUUCCCAGACAUUACUCACCCGUCCGCCACUCGUCACCCAAGGAGCAAGCUCCUCUGUGCUACCGUUCGACUUGCAUGUGUUAGGCCUGCCGCCAGC